UGUGCUAAGGUAGCGAAGUCAUUAGUUUUUUUAUUGGAAACUUGUAUGAGUGGAUGGAUAGGGAAUGUUUUGUGAAUUAAUUAUUUGGUGAAUUUUAUUUAUUUAUGAAAAGUUAAAUUUAUUCUAAGGGACGAGAAGACCCUAAAAUCUUUAUUCUAAUGGUUAUUACUUUUAGAUUUUAUUUGGGGGAAAGGGAAAUUUUUGUUUUUUGUUUUAUUAUUAAGAACUUUUUUAGGUUGCAUGGAUAGAUACUUUAGGGAUAACAGGAUAAUUUUUUUAUUGAGUUCUUAUUUUUAAGGAAGUUUGUUACCUCGAUGUUGGCUUUUGA
Molecule: ribosomal RNA, 328 nt
Filed under: Demodex sp. ex feline NS-2013
Lineage: Eukaryota; Metazoa; Arthropoda; Arachnida; Trombidiformes; Demodicidae
Description: partial 16S ribosomal RNA
Source: RNAcentral